AGAACGAACGCUGGCGGCAUGCCUAACACAUGCAAGUCGAACGCCUGUAGCAAUACAGGAGUGGCGCACGGGUGAGUAACGCGUGGGAACCUACCCUGGAGUGGGGGAUAACCGAGGGAAACUUCGGCUAAUACCUCAUACGACCUGAGGGUGAAAGAUUUAUCGCUCUAGGAGGGGCCCGCGUCGGAUUAGCUAGUUGGUGAGGUAACGGCCCACCAAGGCGAUGAUCCGUAGCUGGUCUGAGAGGAUGAUCAGCCACACUGGGACUGAGACACGGCCCAGACUCCUACGGGAGGCAGCAGUGGGAAUAUUGGACAAUGGGGGCAACCCUGAUCCAGCAAUGCCGCGUGAGUGAUGAAGGCCUUAGGGUUGUAAAGCUCUUUCGGCGGGGACGAUGAUGACGGUACCCGCAGAAGAAGCCCCGGCUAACUUCGUGCCAGCAGCCGC
RNAcentral lists this ribosomal RNA (447 nucleotides) under uncultured bacterium. RNAcentral's name for it is "SSU rRNA". It matches the Rfam family "Bacterial small subunit ribosomal RNA", at positions 26 to 518 of the family's 1533-position model. The record is from RNAcentral.